GGCUCGGUAGCUUAGUUGGUAAAGCGCUCGUCUAGCAUACAAGAGUCCUGGGUUCGAAUCCAUCUUUACCA
Molecule: transfer RNA, 71 nt
Filed under: Aedes aegypti (yellow fever mosquito)
Lineage: Eukaryota; Metazoa; Arthropoda; Insecta; Diptera; Culicidae
Rfam family: tRNA
About the family: Transfer RNA (tRNA) molecules are approximately 80 nucleotides in length.
Source: Rfam by way of RNAcentral